RNAcentral lists this small nuclear RNA (106 nucleotides) under Pseudonaja textilis. The record is from RNAcentral. Lineage: Eukaryota; Metazoa; Chordata; Lepidosauria; Squamata; Elapidae.
GUGCUCGCUUCAGCAGCACAUAUACUAAAAUUGGAAUGAUAAAGAGAAGAUUAGCAUGGCCCCUGCGCAAGGAUGACACGCAAUUUGUGAAGUGUGCCAUAUUUCA